AACGCAACUGGCGCCGGUUUACCGGCAUGCCUGUUUCAGUGUGCUAGGAGAGUAAACUAUCAUUAUAAAAUAUAAUGCGAUUGAGGUACAUUUAUGUUCUUCUUUCGUUAAAUAUGAAGGUGUGAAAGAUGAGUAAUCUCUCACACUGGCAAACGAAGUAGUCAUGCUUGUUCGUGAUCUCGUUUAACCAGUGCUAAAGAUUUUUGCUUAGCUUUCAAUCACAUCUAAUCAAUUAAAUAUUUCCAAACAGGGCAUGGGAAAUCAGACAAGCAUACCCUCUGAACUU
This 286-nucleotide unclassified non-coding RNA is filed under the name uncultured fungus. Its description in RNAcentral is "partial contains 5.8S rRNA and ITS2". Lineage: Eukaryota; Fungi. The record is from RNAcentral.